UCACAGCCAACACCCAUUUCACCCUCUCUCUCAUUUUCCUCUCUUUCUCUCUCUAGAAAGCAAGCCCUAGAGCUUGGAGAAGGUGGAGAAGAGCUUGGAGAAGUGGAUUUUGGUGGCUUUGGUGGUCCUAGAAGCUCUCCAACAAGUAGGCUUUGGUGGAGCUUGGGCAAAGGUGAGUCCUUAUGCAAAAAUAAGUUUAGGGUUUUGGUUUAGACCUUAGAUUUUUGACUUUUGAUCUCUCUACAAGUGAGGAAAUCCUCUAAGGACCAUGACUCCAUGAAAAAUAUGGAUUUCUUGGACCCCUCUCAUGGUGGAUCACUAGGGCUCAAAGUAGAUGCCCUAGGGAUGGUUCUAAAAGCUUAGAAACCUUAUUAGAGAGCUUCCCAUGUGAAUCUAAGCUAUCUUUUGCUUAGGAAUGAGAUCAAUCUCGGAGAAAUGCAAAAAUAACAUGUUAGGGCAUCCCAAAGAGGGGUUUUGCCCAAGUUGGGUUUUGAUCUAUUUUGAUCAUGUAGAAACCUAAUUGAGG
RNAcentral lists this long non-coding RNA (526 nucleotides) under Ananas comosus (pineapple). RNAcentral's name for it is "long non-coding RNA (ACOM_LNC026189)". The record is from RNAcentral. Lineage: Eukaryota; Viridiplantae; Streptophyta; Magnoliopsida; Poales; Bromeliaceae.